Molecule: ribosomal RNA, 366 nt
Filed under: Triticum aestivum (bread wheat)
Lineage: Eukaryota; Viridiplantae; Streptophyta; Magnoliopsida; Poales; Poaceae
Description: partial small subunit ribosomal RNA
Source: RNAcentral
AUGGCGACGGAGGCGUUCGAGAUGUACCGGCAGUCGGAGAUCGGCUACGCCCUCACCGAGACGCUGGACGAGAUGGUGAGCAGCGGCGUGCUCAGCCCCGACCUCGCCAUCACCGUCCUCCUGCAGUUCGACAAGUCCAUGGGACACGCGCUGGAUAAGCAUGUCAAGAGCAGGGCCUUCUUCAAGCGCGGCAAUCUGCGCACAUACAGGAACUGCGAUGACGUCUGGACAUUAAUCUUGAGAGACGUGACGUUCAAGAACGAGGAUAUCGAAACAGUCCUCCACAAAGUGAAGAUCGUCGCCUGCGAUUCUGCUGCGCUUAAGAAGCCUCUCGAACCUAUUACUUGCCAUCAGUGCCAACCAUAG